This 389-nucleotide ribosomal RNA is filed under the name uncultured Banisveld landfill bacterium BVA76b. RNAcentral describes it as "bacterial SSU rRNA". It matches the Rfam family "Bacterial small subunit ribosomal RNA", at positions 1005 to 1393 of the family's 1533-position model. The record is from RNAcentral.
GAUNGGACUUUCCCUUCGGGGACAAAAGAGACAGGUGGUGCAUGGUUGUNGUCAGCUCGUGUCGUGAGAUGUUGGGUUAAGUCCCGCAACGAGCGCAACCCCUGUGGUUAGUUGCCAUCAUUUAGUUGGGCACUUUUAAGCAGACUGCCGUGGAUAACACGGAGGAAGGUGGGGACGACGUCAAAUCAUCAUGCCCCUUAUGACCUGGGCUACACACGUGCUACAAUGGUCUGAACAGAGGGUUGCGAAACCGCGAGGUGAAGCUAAUCCCUUAAAACAGAUCUCAGUUCGGAUUGCAGGCUGCAACUCGCCUGCAUGAAGUUGGAGUUGNUAGUAAUCGCAGAUCAGAAUGCUGCGGUGAAUGCGUUCCCGGGUCUUGUACACACNGA